RNAcentral lists this ribosomal RNA (254 nucleotides) under uncultured bacterium. Its description in RNAcentral is "partial 16S ribosomal RNA". It matches the Rfam family "Bacterial small subunit ribosomal RNA", at positions 524 to 776 of the family's 1533-position model. The record is from RNAcentral.
GACGUAGGGCGCGAGCGUUGUCCGGAUUUAUUGGGCGGAAAGAGCUCGUAGGCGGCUUGUCGCGUCAACUGUGAAAACCCGUGGCUCAACCAUGUGGUCUGCAGUCGAUACGGGCAGGCUAGAAUUCGGUAGGGGAGAGUGGAAUUCCCGGUGGAGCGGUGAAAUGCGUAGAGAUCGGGAAGAACGCCGGCGGCGAAAGCGACUCUCUGGUCGGACCCUGACGCUGAGGCGCGAAAGCUAGGGGAGCAAACGGG